UGGCUCAGAGCGAACGCUGGCGGCACGCCUAACACAUGCAAGUCGAGCGAGAAAGUGACUUCGGUCGCGAGUAAAGCGGCGAACGGGUGAGUACAACGUGGAUAAUCUACCCUAAGGUCUGGGACAACCCCGAGAAAUCGGGGCUAAUACCGGAUAAGACCACAGUAUCCAAGGAUACAGCGGUAAAAGAUUUAUCGCCUUUGGAUGAGUCCACGCCCCAUCAGGUAGUUGGUAAGGUAAAGGCUUACCAAGCCUAAGACGGGUAGCCGGCCUUAGCGGGUGAACGGCCACAUGGGGACUGAGACACGGCCCUGACUCCUACGGGAGGCAGCAGUGGGGAAUAUUGGGCAAUGGGCGAAAGCCUGACCCAGCGAUGCCGCGUGAGGGAUGAAGGCCUUCGGGUUGUAAACCUCUGUCAGGAGGGACGAUGGGACUUUGUCUUGACGGUACCUCCAGAGGAAGCCCCGGCUAACUCCGUGCCAGCAGCCGCGGUAAUACGGGAGGGGGGCAAGCGUUGCUCGGAAUUACUGGGCGU
This 535-nucleotide ribosomal RNA is filed under the name uncultured bacterium. RNAcentral's name for it is "bacterial SSU rRNA". It matches the Rfam family "Bacterial small subunit ribosomal RNA", at positions 20 to 561 of the family's 1533-position model. The record is from RNAcentral.